Molecule: ribosomal RNA, 498 nt
Filed under: uncultured bacterium
Lineage: Bacteria
Description: partial 16S ribosomal RNA
Rfam family: Bacterial small subunit ribosomal RNA
Source: RNAcentral
AUUGAACGCUGGCGGCAUGCCUUACACAUGCAAGUCGAACGGUAACAGGUCUUCGGAUGCUGACGAGUGGCGAACGGGUGAGUAAUACAUCGGAACGUGCCUAGUAGUGGGGGAUAACUACUCGAAAGAGUGGCUAAUACCGCAUGAGAUCUACGGAUGAAAGCAGGGGAUCGCAAGACCUUGUGCUACUAGAGCGGCAGAUGGCAGAUUAGGUAGUUGGUGGGAUAAAAGCUUACCAAGCCGACGAUCUGUAGCUGGUCUGAGAGGACGAUCAGCCACACUGGGACUGAGACACGGCCCAGACUCCUACGGGAGGCAGCAGUGGGGAAUUUUGGACAAUGGGCGAAAGCCUGAUCCAGCCAUUCCGCGUGCAGGAUGAAGGCCCUCGGGUUGUAAACUGCUUUUGUACGGAACGAAAAGGCUCUGGUUAAUACCUGGGGCUCAUGACGGUACCGUAAGAAUAAGCACCGGCUAACUACGUGCCAGCCGCCGCCGUAA